Molecule: ribosomal RNA, 497 nt
Filed under: uncultured bacterium
Lineage: Bacteria
Description: partial 16S ribosomal RNA
Rfam family: Bacterial small subunit ribosomal RNA
Source: RNAcentral
GAUGAACGCUGGCGGCGUGCCUAAUACAUGCAAGUCGAGCGAACAGACGAGGAGCUUGCUCCUCUGACGUUAGCGGCGGACGGGUGAGUAACACGUGGAUAACCCACCUAUAAGACUGGGAUAACUUCGGGAAACCGGCGCUAAUACCGGAUAAUAUAUUGAACCGCAUGGUUCAAUAGUGAAAUACGGCUUUGCUGUCACUUAUAGAUGGAUCCGCGCCGCAUUAGCUAGUUGGUACGGUAACGGCUUACCAAGGCAACGAGGGGUAGCCGACCGGAGAGGCGGAUCGGCCACACUGGAACUUAGACACGGUCCAGACUCCUGCGGGAGGCCGCAGUAUGGAAUCUUCCGCAGUGGGCGGAAGCCUGGCGGAGCAACGCCGCGUGAGUGAUGAAGGUCUUCGGAUCGUAAAACUCUGUUAUUAGGUAAGAACAAAUGUGUAAGGAACUAUGCACGUCUUGACGGUACCUGGUCAGAAAGCCCCGGCUAACUACGUG